UCUACCUACGGGGGGCAGCAGUGGGGAAUAUUGGGCAAUGGGCGCAAGCCUGACCCAGCGACGCCGCGUGAGGGAAGACGGUCUUCGGAUUGUAAACCUCUUUCAGCAGGGAAGACAAAAGGACGGUACCUGCAGAAGAAGCCACGGCUAACUACGUGCCAGCAGCCGCGGUAAUACGUAGGUGGCAAGCGUUAUCCGGAAUUACUGGGUGUAAAGGGUGUGUAGGCGGGUUUGCAAUGCAGAUGUGAAAAUUAUGGGCU
RNAcentral lists this ribosomal RNA (260 nucleotides) under uncultured bacterium. RNAcentral's name for it is "partial 16S ribosomal RNA". It matches the Rfam family "Bacterial small subunit ribosomal RNA", at positions 334 to 609 of the family's 1533-position model. The record is from RNAcentral.